GACGAACGCUGGCGGCGUGGAUUAGGCAUGCAAGUCGAACGGUAUCAUCCUUUCGGGGGUGAGAGAGUGGCGAACUGGUGAGUAACACGUAGGUUAUCUACCCUCAAGACGGGGACAACCCAGGGAAACUUGGGCUAAUACCGGAUGUGAGCAACUUUUAGUUGUUUGAAAGGUGGCGUAAGCUGUCGCUUGGGGAUGAGCCUGCGUCCUAUUAGUUAGUUGGUGAGGUAACGGCUCACCUAGGCAAUGAUAGGUAGGCGGCCUUAACGGGUGGUCGCCCACACUGGGAUUGAGAUACGGCCCAGACUCCUACGGGAGGCAGCAGUCGAGAAUAGUCUACAUGGUCGGAAGACUGAUAGUGCGACGCCGCGUGAACGAUGAAUCCCUUCGGGGUGUAAAGUUCUUUUAUAUGUGAGCAGUGCUUCUUAUAUUAACAGUAUGGGGAGAGAGAUAUUAGCAUAUGAAUAAGCAACGGCUAACUCCGUGCCAGCAGCCGCGGUAAACUCGU
This 508-nucleotide ribosomal RNA is filed under the name uncultured bacterium. RNAcentral's name for it is "bacterial SSU rRNA". It matches the Rfam family "Bacterial small subunit ribosomal RNA", at positions 28 to 528 of the family's 1533-position model. The record is from RNAcentral.